RNAcentral lists this ribosomal RNA (195 nucleotides) under uncultured bacterium. RNAcentral describes it as "partial 16S ribosomal RNA". It matches the Rfam family "Bacterial small subunit ribosomal RNA", at positions 521 to 715 of the family's 1533-position model. The record is from RNAcentral.
UAAGACGUAGGGAGCGAGCGUUGUCCGGAUUCAUUGGGCGUAAAGCGCGCGUAGGCGGUUUGGCAAGUCGGAUGUGAAAUCCCGAGGCUCAACCUCGGGACUGCAUCCGAUACUGCCCGACUAGAGGUAGGUAGGGGAGAUCGGAAUUCCUGGUGUAGCGGUGAAAUGCGCAGAUAUCAGGAGGAACACCGGUGG